AGGUUAUUGAUAAAGUGCCCGCAGCGGUGAAAACAGGUAGAUCAUAAAGACACCGUAAAAUCGUCCCUGAUGGCUUGAGCCGCGCCAUCCGUGGCGCGGACGCUUU
RNAcentral lists this non-coding RNA (106 nucleotides) under Yersinia enterocolitica. RNAcentral describes it as "Yersinia sRNA 224". It matches the Rfam family "Yersinia sRNA 224". The record is from RNAcentral. Lineage: Bacteria; Pseudomonadati; Pseudomonadota; Gammaproteobacteria; Enterobacterales; Yersiniaceae.